RNAcentral lists this transfer RNA (69 nucleotides) under Ictidomys tridecemlineatus (thirteen-lined ground squirrel). RNAcentral describes it as "Spermophilus tridecemlineatus (thirteen-lined ground squirrel) tRNA". It matches the Rfam family "tRNA". From Rfam's summary of the family: Transfer RNA (tRNA) molecules are approximately 80 nucleotides in length. Lineage: Eukaryota; Metazoa; Chordata; Mammalia; Rodentia; Sciuridae. The record is from Rfam by way of RNAcentral.
GGGGUUGUGGCUCAGUCGUAGAGCGCUCGCCUCGCACAUGGGAGAUCCUGGGUUCGAUCCUCAGCACCA